This 468-nucleotide ribosomal RNA is filed under the name uncultured bacterium. RNAcentral's name for it is "partial 16S ribosomal RNA". It matches the Rfam family "Bacterial small subunit ribosomal RNA", at positions 28 to 507 of the family's 1533-position model. The record is from RNAcentral.
GACGAACGCUGGCGGCGUGCUUAACACAUGCAAGUCGAACGGAAAGGCCCUGCUUUUGUGGGGUGCUCGAGUGGCGAACGGGUGAGUAACACGUGAGUAACCUGCCUUUGACGUUGGGAUAACUUCAGGCAACUGGGGCUAAUACCGGCUAGGAGCUCCUGCUGCAUGGUGGGGGUUGGAAAGUUUCGGCGGUUGGGGAUGGACUCGCGGCUUAUCAGCUUGUUGGUGGGGUAGUGGCUUACCAAGGCUUUGACGGGUAGCCGGCCUGAGAGGGUGACCGGCCACAUUGGGACUGAGAUACGGCCCAGACUCCUACGGGAGGCAGCAGUGGGGAAUAUUGCACAAUGGGCGGAAGCCUGAUGCAGCAACGCCGCGUGCGGGAUGACGGCCUUCGGGUUGUAAACCGCUUUCGCCUGUGACGAAGCGUGAGUGACGGUAAUGGGUAAAGAAGCACCGGCUAACUACGUG